UGGGACGAAGCCCUUCGGGGUGUAAACCACUGUCAAGAGAUAGAAAAGUUCUGAUCAUCUCUAGAGGAGGGCACGGCUAACUCUGUGC
This 88-nucleotide ribosomal RNA is filed under the name uncultured bacterium. RNAcentral describes it as "partial 16S ribosomal RNA". The record is from RNAcentral.